This 492-nucleotide ribosomal RNA is filed under the name uncultured bacterium. Its description in RNAcentral is "partial 16S ribosomal RNA". It matches the Rfam family "Bacterial small subunit ribosomal RNA", at positions 29 to 507 of the family's 1533-position model. The record is from RNAcentral.
AGUGAACGCUGGCGGUAGGCCUAACACAUGCAAGUCGAACGGCAGCACAGUAAGAGCUUGCUCUUACGGGUGGCGAGUGGCGGACGGGUGAGGAAUACAUCGGAAUCUACUUUUUCGUGGGGGGUAACGUAGGGAAACUUACGCUAAUACCGCAUACGACCUACGGGUGAAAGCAGGGGAUCUUCGGACCUUGCGCGAUUGAAUGAGCCGAUGUCGGAUUAGCUAGUUGGCGGGGUAAAGGCCCACCAAGGCGACGAUCCGUAGCUGGUCUGAGAGGAUGAUCAGCCACACUGGAACUGAGACACGGUCCAGACUCCUAUGGGAGGCAGCAGUGGGGAAUAUUGGACAAUGGGCGCAAGCCUGAUCCAGCCAUACCGCGUGGGUGAAGAAGGCCUUCGGGUUGUAAAGCCCUUUUGUUGGGAAAGAAAAGCAGCAGGUUAAUACCCCGCUGUUCUGACGGUACCCAAAGAAUAAGCACCGGCUAACUUCGUG